CACGUAGGGGGCGAGCGUUGUCCGGAUUUAUUGGGCGUAAAGAGCUCGUAGGCGGCUCAGUAAGUCGGGUGUGAAAACUCCAGGCUCAACCUGGAGACGCCACCUGAUACUGCUGUGGCUAGAGUCCGGUAGGGGAGCAUGGAAUUCCUGGUGUAGCGGUGAAAUGCGCAGAUAUCAGGAAGAACACCUAUGGCGAAGGCAGCUCUCUGGGACGGUACUGACGCUGAGACGCGAAAGCGUGGGGAGCGAACAGG
RNAcentral lists this ribosomal RNA (254 nucleotides) under uncultured bacterium. RNAcentral describes it as "partial 16S ribosomal RNA". It matches the Rfam family "Bacterial small subunit ribosomal RNA", at positions 524 to 776 of the family's 1533-position model. The record is from RNAcentral.